Molecule: long non-coding RNA, 697 nt
Organism: Cygnus olor (mute swan)
Lineage: Eukaryota; Metazoa; Chordata; Aves; Anseriformes; Anatidae
Exons: 4
Source: RefSeq, a predicted model, not a curated record
UGAACAUUUGUAAUCCCUGGUAAAUAGGAAAUAGAUGAGCAUCUGAAAUGAUAGAAGCAGCCUCCUCCUGUCCCUUGGCAACCAUGAAUUUCAGACCAUGCAGGAUGAUGGUUCCUUUUCAAAGCAGAACUGAAGGUAUGUCAGCAGUCUGGGUGCAUAAAUAAUGCUGCAGCCAUUAGUAAGCCCAGUCACUGUAUUGUCUGUGCUAGAACCCUGCCUCCUGGGGAUGGAUCCUAGCCAAAGUUAAAGCAACGUCCUCUGCUGAAAUCUACUGUCAAGCUAUUUUCAUUGAGGGAAACCCCUGCUUCUUUUUUGGAUGGGAUGAAAUACUGUUAACCACAACUACAGAAUUUAGCAGGUGGAAGAGACUGUGCAGCUGAUGAAGAACUCUUACCUGCGCUGAAGUGUUCCUGGUUCACUAAAGCUGGCAUGGAGAGAGAACUGAGACAGUCCAAUUCACUCUAAAAGUUUGAGAAAUAUUCCAGAGAAGUAGCACUGCCAUCGUAGGUAGAAGAGUAUACUCACCUUUUUGGCCUCCAUGAGAAGUGGGCAAGUACUGUAUCAUCUAAACUACGAACAGAAAGAGAGUGUUGCUGUAUAGAAAAAAAAAUCAGUUGGAAUUUCUCAUCAAAAAAGAGCUCAACAAAGUGUUUGCCAGUCCAAGCAUGGUACCAUGGAAAGUGGCCAGGAUAUAGCA